UGGGGAAUUUUGGACAAUGGGCGAAAGCCUGAUCCAGCAACGCCGCGUGUGUGAAGAAGGCCUUCGGGUUGUAAAGCACUUUUGUCCGGAAAGAAAUCCUUGGCUCUAAUACAGUCGGGGGAUGACGGUACCGGAAGAAUAAGCACCGGCUAACUACGUGCCAGCAGCCGCGGUAAUACGUAGGGUGCAAGCGUUAAUCGGAAUUACUGGGCGUAAAGCGUGCGCAGGCGGUUUGCUAAGACCGAUGUGAAAUCCCCGGGCUCAACCUGGGAACUGCAUUGGUGACUGGCAGGCUAGAGUAUGGCAGAGGGGGGUUAGAAUUCCACGUGUAGCAGUGAAAUGCGUAGAGAUGUGGAGGAAUACCGAUGGCGAAGGCAGCCCCCUGGGCCAAUACUGACGCUCAUGCACGAAAGCGUGGGGAGCAAACAGGAUUAGAUACCCUGGUAGUCCACGCCCUAAACGAUGUCAACUAGUUGUUGGGGAUUCAUUUCCUUAGUAACGUAGCUAACGCGUGAAGUUGACCGCCUGGGGGAGUACGGUCGCAAGAUUAAAACUUAAAUGAAUUGACGGGGUCAUAGCUGUUUCC
RNAcentral lists this ribosomal RNA (586 nucleotides) under uncultured bacterium. RNAcentral's name for it is "partial 16S ribosomal RNA". It matches the Rfam family "Bacterial small subunit ribosomal RNA", at positions 355 to 937 of the family's 1533-position model. The record is from RNAcentral.